CGGUGAGUAACGUCACCUUUCCUACGGGACAGGCAAGACAGGUGGUGCAUGGUUUUCGUCAGCUCGUGUCGUGAGAUGUUGGGUUAAGUCCCGCAACGAGCGCAACCCCUGUCCUCAGUAGCCAGCGGAAGAGCCGGGCACUCUGGGGAGACAGCCGGGGAUAACCCGGAGGAAGGCGGGGAUGACGUCAAAUCAUCAUGCCCCUUAUGAUUUGGGCUACACACGUGCUACAAUGGUGGUAACAAAGUGAAGCGAGCCAGUGAUGGGGAGCCAAGCACAGAAAAGCCAUCCCAGUUCGGAUUGCAGUCUGCAACUCGACUGCAUGAAGCUGGAAUCGCUAGUAAUCGCGGAUCAGAAUGCCGCGGUGAAUACGUUCCCGGGCCUUGUACACUCCGCCCGU
RNAcentral lists this ribosomal RNA (400 nucleotides) under uncultured bacterium. Its description in RNAcentral is "bacterial SSU rRNA". It matches the Rfam family "Bacterial small subunit ribosomal RNA", at positions 996 to 1397 of the family's 1533-position model. The record is from RNAcentral.